RNAcentral lists this ribosomal RNA (590 nucleotides) under uncultured bacterium. Its description in RNAcentral is "bacterial SSU rRNA". It matches the Rfam family "Bacterial small subunit ribosomal RNA", at positions 73 to 670 of the family's 1533-position model. The record is from RNAcentral.
UCUUCCUUCGGGAGGAGGUGUCCUAGUGGCGAACGGGUGAGUAACACGUUGGUGACCUACCCCGAAGAGGGGGACAACCCCGGGAAACUGGGGCUAAUACCCUAUGUGAUCCUAAGGAUUAGAUGCCUAAGGAUGAAAUGGAUGCUUGCAUUCGCUUCGGGAGGGGCCUGCGGCCUAUCAGCUAGUUGGUGAGGUAAUGGCUCACCAAGGCGACGACGGGUAGGGGGCCUGAGAGGGUGGUCCCCCACACUGGAACUGAAACACGGACCAGACACCUACGGGUGGCAGCAGUAGGGAAUAUUGCACAAUGGGCGCAAGCCUGAUGCAGCAACGCCGCGUGCGCGAUGAAGGCCUUAGGGUUGUAAAGCGCUUUUCUGGGGGAAGAGAAAGGACGGUACCCCAGGAAUAAGUCUCGGCUAACUACGUGCCAGCAGCCGCGGUAAAACGUAGGAGGCGAGCGUUAUCCGGAUUUACUGGGCGUAAAGCGCGUGCAGGCGGUUUGGUAAGUCGGACGUGAAAGCUCCCGGCUCAACUGGGAGAGGCCGUUCGAAACUGCCAGACUAGAGGGCAGCAGAGGGAGGUGGAAUUCC